Molecule: small nucleolar RNA, 110 nt
Filed under: Dipodomys ordii (Ord's kangaroo rat)
Lineage: Eukaryota; Metazoa; Chordata; Mammalia; Rodentia; Heteromyidae
Description: Small nucleolar RNA SNORA33 (ENSDORG00000023059.2)
Source: RNAcentral
AGGCCAAGCAAAUGUGUUUAUGCGGAGAUUUAGAUCAAGCUGGCAAUAAUAGUGCCGUGAUACAAACCUUACAGUCAAAGCCAUUAAGGACCCUGAGAAUGGAUACAACA